UGGGGAAUUUUGGACAAUGGGCGAAAGCCUGAUCCAGCAAUGCCGCGUGUGAAGAAGGCCUUCGGGUUGUAAAGCACUUUUGUCCGGAAAGAAAUCCUUGGCUCUAAUACAGUCGGGGGAUGACGGUACCGGAAGAAUAAGCACCGGCUAACUACGUGCCAGCAGCCGCGGUAAUACGUAGGGUGCAAGCGUUAAUCGGAAUUACUGGGCGUAAAGCGUGCGCAGGCGGUUUGCUAAGACCGAUGUGAAAUCCCCGGGCUCAACCUGGGAACUGCAUUGGUGACUGGCAGGCUAGAGUAUGGCAGAGGGGGGUAGAAUUCCACGUGUAGCAGUGAAAUGCGUAGAGAUGUGGAGGAAUACCGAUGGCGAAGGCAGCCCCCUGGGCCAAUACUGACGCUCAUGCACGAAAGCGUGGGGGAGCAAACAGGAUUAGAUACCCCUGGUAGUCCACGCCCUAAACGAUGUCAACUAGUUGUUGGGGAUUCAUUUCCUUAGUAACGUAGCUAACGCGUGAAGUUGACCGCCUGGGGAGUACGGUCGCAAGAUUAAAACUUAAAUGAAUUGACGGGGUCAUAGCUGUUUCCU
RNAcentral lists this ribosomal RNA (585 nucleotides) under uncultured bacterium. RNAcentral describes it as "partial 16S ribosomal RNA". It matches the Rfam family "Bacterial small subunit ribosomal RNA", at positions 355 to 1375 of the family's 1533-position model. The record is from RNAcentral.